AAAUAUAUGUAAUAAUAAUAAAUAACAUUAUAAAAAUAAUAAUGCAAUAACAAUAUCGGUAAUAUAAAAAAAAAAAACUAAAGUAAACCUAAAGCUACCAAUUAAGGAUCAAACUGUAAAAUAAACAGAAUUGAAAGGCUGAAUUUAAAGAUCUAAAACACUCAAAAGGACUAAAUUAAAUUGCGCGCAACAUGAGGAGGAUCAAAAUGGAAAUUAAUCCCAUCUUCCAAAACGCUGCGCAGCAACACUAACCAAAUUGAAACAGUAAUAAAAUAUUUUGCUUAAUUUAAAAGAAAUAAAAAACAAUUUUAAAGCACUGUAAAACAAAAGGGAUCAAUUGCGCAAAUUAUCCAUUUGAGAAAAAUGAGCGGAUCCUCCCCGGGUCGGAUCGGGUCGCACACGGGCAUAGGCAAUACGGCGCCGUUUUGGGGCCACUGAAACAGGCCCCAAACGACGUCGUUUAACGACAUAUAUAAGCCCAAACUUGGAACCCUAAAACACCACUCCUCUGCCAUUUCAACUGUUUGUGCCUCAGCCUUCCUUUCUCUGCCGUUCUCCCAACUCCGACCAGAUAACGACGAACGAGGGCGCCCGACGACGGAGCGUGCGUGUGUGAGCGGAGAGCACGCGAAGUGCGGGACUACCACGACGUGGGGCGUGCGCGGCGCUGGAAGUUACUGCGACGUGGAGAGCAUGUACGGCGCAGGGCAAAUUAGGGUUCUUAGGAUCAUCUUAGGAUUAGGUUAAUUGGGUUAGGCUAGAUUUGGGCUUGAAUGAAUGAAAUUGGGCUAUUUUGGGCCGCAUGUAUUUGGUUUAUUGGGCUGUACAAAUGAUUUUGGGCCCCGGGCAACAAUUGGGUAUCACAAAGAUGACAGCUAGAAGUUACAGUAUAAUAUUUGUGGAACUUUAGAAUUGGAAGAAUAUGAUAAUAAUGAAUAGUUCGUGUUAGAAUAGAUGAGAACAGAUGGAAAUUGUUGAUGUGAAGGUGAUCAUUUGAAGCAGCUUUAGAAGAAAAGUUGAUGAGAUUUAUUUUUCAA
Long non-coding RNA from Gossypium raimondii (Peruvian cotton), 1037 nucleotides. RefSeq lists it as uncharacterized. NCBI's taxonomy places the organism in Eukaryota, Viridiplantae, Streptophyta, Magnoliopsida, Malvales, Malvaceae. The transcript has 2 exons. The record is from RefSeq and is a predicted model, not a curated record.